This 253-nucleotide unclassified non-coding RNA is filed under the name uncultured Pseudobdellovibrionaceae bacterium. RNAcentral's name for it is "uncultured Bdellovibrionaceae bacterium contains 16S-23S intergenic spacer region". It matches the Rfam family "Bacterial small subunit ribosomal RNA", at positions 524 to 776 of the family's 1533-position model. The record is from RNAcentral. Lineage: Bacteria; Pseudomonadati; Bdellovibrionota; Bdellovibrionia; Bdellovibrionales; Pseudobdellovibrionaceae.
UACGGAGGGUGCAAGCGUUGCUCGGAAUCACUGGGCGUAAAGCGUCCGCAGGCGGCUUGAUAAGUCGGGUGUGAAAGCCCGGGGCUCAACCCCGGAACUGCAUUCGAAACUGUCUGGCUUGAGUACGGGAGAGGGAAGCGGAAUUCUGGGUGUAGAGGUGAAAUUCGUAGAUAUCCAGAGGAACACCAGCGGCGAAGGCGGCUUCCUGGCCCGAUACUGACGCUCAUGGACGAAAGCGUGGGGAGCAAACAGG